CCAUUAGCAUUAUCUGUCGGAAAUGCGAUUCCGCUAACAUCUCCUGUUGCACAUCAGAUAGUGAUUCUUUGAUAAUUUCUAUCCACCUCAAAUUGAAGUAAUUAUUAAUUAUUUUAUGUCCGCUUGGUUCGUACCAUGUCUGAUACAACUGCUCUUGCGAACCUAACUCUUUCAUCAUGUACAAAAAAAAGGAUAAUAUGUCCAAACCCAUACUACGAAACCUACAUUAUAUAAUACAAUGGCCGCAACCAUCAGCAUCA
This 260-nucleotide long non-coding RNA is filed under the name Brassica napus (rape). RNAcentral describes it as "long non-coding RNA (BNAP_LNC003441)". Lineage: Eukaryota; Viridiplantae; Streptophyta; Magnoliopsida; Brassicales; Brassicaceae. The record is from RNAcentral.